Molecule: ribosomal RNA, 481 nt
Filed under: uncultured bacterium
Lineage: Bacteria
Description: partial 16S ribosomal RNA
Rfam family: Bacterial small subunit ribosomal RNA
Source: RNAcentral
AUGAACGCUAGCGGCAGGCCUAAUACCUGCAAGUCGAACGAGAUUAAGAGGCUUGCUUCUUAUGAAAGUGGCGCACGGGUGCGUAACGCGUAUGCAACCUACCUUAAUCAGGGGGAUAGCCCGAAGAAAUUCGGAUUAAGACCGCAUAAAAACACAGGAUAGCAUUAUCCAAUGUUCAAAUAUUUAUAGGAUUAAGAUGGGCAUGCGUGUCAUUAGCUAGUUGGCGGGGUAACGGCCCACCAAGGCGACGAUGACUAGGGGAUCUGAGAGGAUGACCCCCCACACUGGUACUGAGACACGGACCAGACUCCUACGGGAGGCAGCAGUAAGGAAUAUUGGUCAAUGGAGGGAACUCUGAACCAGCCAUGCCGCGUGCAGGAAGACAGCCCUCUGGGUCGUAAACUGCUUUUAUUCGGGAAUAAACCUUUCUACGUGUAGGAAGCUGAAUGUACCGAAGGAAUAAGGAUCGGCUAACUCCGUG